This 253-nucleotide ribosomal RNA is filed under the name uncultured bacterium. Its description in RNAcentral is "partial 16S ribosomal RNA". It matches the Rfam family "Bacterial small subunit ribosomal RNA", at positions 524 to 776 of the family's 1533-position model. The record is from RNAcentral.
UACAGAGGGGGCAAGCGUUGUUCGGAAUUACUGGGCGUAAAGGGCGCGUAGGCGGCCUUCUAAGUCGAACGUGAAAUCCCCGGGCUCAACCCGGGAACUGCGUCCGAUACUGGAAGGCUUGAAUCCGGGAGAGGGAUGUGGAAUUCCAGGUGUAGCGGUGAAAUGCGUAGAUAUCUGGAGGAACACCGGUGGCGAAGGCAGGACUCUGGGCCGAUACUGACGCUGAGGAGCGAAAGCGUGGGGAGCAAACAGG